CCCCCAGUAACGGCGAGUGAAGUGGGAAAAGCCCAGCGUCGAACCCACAAGUUUUGCUUGGCGGGCAUGUGGCGUGUGGAUCCCCUCACGCAUGUUGGCACGCUCACCGCACGUCCUAAUGAUUCAGGCCUUGCCCACAGAGGGUGUCAGGCCCGUACCAGGUGAGCGCUGUCGGAUGCAGGGAGGUAUUCAAGAGUCGGGUUGUUUGGGAAUGCAGCCCAAAGCGGGAGGUAAACUUCUCCUAAGGCUAAAUACUAUGGUGAGACCGAUAGCGAACAAGUACCGUGAGGGAAAGUUGAAAAGCACUCUGAAGAGAGAGUUCAAUAGUACGUGAAACUGUUAAGAGGUAAACGAUCAAGGCGUCCCUUACGCCUAGCUAGAUUCAGCCGCUGCGCCCGCCGCCGUGGUGCUUUCCACAUCCGCAAGGAGUGGGGGUGCUGCGGUGGGUGGGCGAAACGGUGCACUUUUGGUUGGGCUACGUCACGGCCGAUUGUUCGGGAGCGAUGUGGCGCGUGGGGUGGAGGUUCAGGCUUCGGUCCGACCAAUUCCCUGCGUGUUCAUGGCCUCCUGGGCGAUCGUGGUAGAGGACUGGUUGCUACAGGCGGCUCGUAGGCUUUCGUCUUUUCUCUGACGAUGCGUAUCUCGCUUGCGAAAUGCGUGUCCGAAAGGGAUUCGGCUGGGGGUUUUUGCGUCUGCCGGUCCCCGCCCGUGGCUCAUGGGAUUCCCUUUAUCGACCCGUCUUGAAACACGGACCAAGGAGUCUAACAUGUGUGCGAGUCUUGAGGGUUAGGAACACCCGCAGGCGCAAUGAAAGUAAGGUUUGCUUCGGCAAAUGAGGCAGGAGCGGGGCAACCCGUGCACCGCCGUCCCGUCUGGAACAUCCUCGUAUGUCGGGCGGAGAAAGAGCAUAUACGUUGGGACCCGAAAGAUGGUGAACUAUGCCUGAACAGGAUGAAGCCAGGGGAAACUCUGGUGGAGGUCCGUAGCGAUUCUGACGUGCAAAUCGAUCGUCUGAUUUGGGUAUAGGGGCG
Molecule: ribosomal RNA, 1031 nt
Filed under: Lindrilus rubropharyngeus
Lineage: Eukaryota; Metazoa; Annelida; Polychaeta; Protodrilidae
Description: partial 28S ribosomal RNA
Rfam family: Eukaryotic large subunit ribosomal RNA
Source: RNAcentral